GAUGAAGAACGUAGCGAAAUGCGAUACUUGGUGUGAAUUGCAGAAUCCCGUGAACCAUCGAGUCUUUGAACGCAAGUUGCGCCCGAAGCCAUUAGGCCGAGGGCACGCCUGCCUGGGCGUCACACGUCGUUGCCCCCCCAUCUACUCCUUCGGGAUGGCGGGGGGCGGAUGAUGGCCUCCCGUGCGCCUAGCCGCGCGGUUGGCAUAAAUACCAAGUCCUCGGCGACGCACGCCACGACAAUCGGUGGUUGCGAAACCUCGGUUGCCCGUCGUGUGCGUUCGUCGCGCAUCGAGGGCUCGAAAAAAUGCUCGGCUCCGGCUCGGCUUUCAACGCGACCCCAGGUCAGGCGGGGUUACCCGCUGAAUUUAAGCAUAUCAAAAGCGGAGGA
RNAcentral lists this unclassified non-coding RNA (389 nucleotides) under soil metagenome. RNAcentral describes it as "partial contains 5.8S ribosomal RNA, internal transcribed spacer 2, and large subunit ribosomal RNA". The stretch from base 1 to 122 matches the Rfam family "5.8S ribosomal RNA", at positions 35 to 154 of the family's 154-position model. The record is from RNAcentral.